Molecule: ribosomal RNA, 254 nt
Filed under: uncultured bacterium
Lineage: Bacteria
Description: partial 16S ribosomal RNA
Rfam family: Bacterial small subunit ribosomal RNA
Source: RNAcentral
UACGUAGGGCGCAAGCGUUGUCCGGAAUUAUUGGGCGUAAAGAGCUCGUAGGCGGCCUGUUACGUCUGCUGUGAAAUCCCGGGGCUUAACCCCGGGCGUGCAGUGGAUACGGGCAGGCUGGAGGCAGGCAGGGGAGAACGGAAUUCCCGGUGUAGCGGUGAAAUGCGCAGAUAGUCGGGAGGAACACCGGUGGCGAAGGCGGUUCUCUGGGCCUGUACUGACGCUGAGGAGUGAAAGCGUGGGGAGCAAACAGG